UAAUCAGAUCACCGAUUGUCUCGAGCAUAGUUAGCUAAGGACUUGAACUAUUAUUUAUAUUAACUAAUAUUUAUAUUAUUUAAAUAAUUAAAAUUUAAUUUAUCUAAUUAAUAUAUUAACUUAAAAUAUAAAUAAUUAAUUAAUAUUAACAUAUUGACUAAUUUUUAAUAUUUAUUUACUAGUUAACGCCAUCUUUAUCAUCUCAUAUAGUAAUUUUAAUUAAUUUAUUUAUUAACUUAUUAAAAUAUUAUUUUACUAAUACUUAGAUACUUAUUAUUUAUAUAAAUUAUAUCAUAAUUACUCUUAUUUUUAGCAUUCCAACUCAAUCAUCCAAACGUAAUUUUUCUUAUUCCUCUAAAUACCUCGAUUCUCGUACAAAUACAAAAUUGAACUAAUACCUCUAGAGCCCAGAAAUAAAAGGAAGCAUAAAUAUAAAACCAUAGUUCUGUACAGACUUACUAUUUUAGGUAUCGUUUGGUUCGGGAAUAAACAAAAAGUGGCUAUUUCAGGGAUAGGUAUAAAUUGAAGUAUAAGCGGGGAUUAGAUCAAUUUUGCGUUUGGAUGAUAAUUGGUUUAUUCUUGGGAUUAAAAAAAAUAGCGUUUGGUUAGAUACGAUAGAAUAAGGAAGAUAGUGGAUUUUUAUAAAUAAAAAAUAAUCAUAUUAUCCUCUUAUUAUAUUUAAAUUUAAAUUUUUAAAUUUCAAACUUUAAAUUUAAGAUGAAAUUUAAAUUUAAUAAAUAUAAAAUAUCAAAUUUUAAAUUUCAAAAUUAAAAUAUCAAAAUUAAAAUUUAUAAUUUAUAAUUUAUAAUUUAAAAUUAUAAACUUUAAUUUUGAGAUUAUAAAUUAUAAAUUUUAAAAAUUUAAAAUUUUAAUUUUUAAAUUUUUAAAAUAAGAAU
This 896-nucleotide long non-coding RNA is filed under the name Ananas comosus (pineapple). RNAcentral describes it as "long non-coding RNA (ACOM_LNC004803)". Lineage: Eukaryota; Viridiplantae; Streptophyta; Magnoliopsida; Poales; Bromeliaceae. The record is from RNAcentral.